AUUGAACGCUGGCGGCAUGCUUUACACAUGCAAGUCGAACGGACUUGAAGGGCUUGCUCUUCAAGUUAGUGGCGAACGGGUGAGUAAUACAUCGGAACGUGCCCAGUAAUGGGGGAUAACCUGCCGAAAGGCAAGCUAAUACCGCAUACGCCCUGAGGGGGAAAGUGGGGGACUCGUAAGAGCCUCACGUUAUUGGAGCGGCCGAUGCCUGAUUAGCUAGUUGGUAGGGUAAAAGCCUACCAAGGCAACGAUCAGUAGCGGGUCUGAGAGGACGACCCGCCACACUGGGACUGAGACACGGCCCAGACUCCUACGGGAGGCAGCAGUGGGGAAUCUUGGACAAUGGGCGAAAGCCUGAUCCAGCAAUGCCGCGUGGGUGAAGAAGGCCUCGGUUG
Molecule: ribosomal RNA, 395 nt
Filed under: uncultured bacterium
Lineage: Bacteria
Description: bacterial SSU rRNA
Rfam family: Bacterial small subunit ribosomal RNA
Source: RNAcentral